RNAcentral lists this small RNA (460 nucleotides) under Histoplasma capsulatum. RNAcentral's name for it is "hypothetical RNA". The record is from RNAcentral. RNAcentral also lists the same sequence under 1 other name. Lineage: Eukaryota; Fungi; Ascomycota; Eurotiomycetes; Onygenales; Ajellomycetaceae.
CAGCAUUGAGGAGAGGGCGUGUCGAUGCCAGUACCUAUUGUUGCUUAUGGUUUAAGUUUACAAAGCAUCAGGCCGACCAAAUGCGGCUCCUCACCAAAACUGUUCCUCGGGGGUUUGAAAUAACCUCGUUGCCUCAAGAUAUCUUUCUAAUGAUCCUCAGUUAUCUAUGUUACAUAGAUGUUAUCUAUUGCCGUCGCGUCUCAAGAUCCUGGAAUGCCGCGUUCGGUAAUCCCUUCAAUCUAUAUACAUUUUUGAAGUGGACUUUUCCAUUCGCUCGGGAGGUCCGUAGAUAUCAUCAAGAGAAACUCUUGGAUAAUGAGCAUGGAAUCCCACCGCACGACAACCAUUGGCGCGAGUUAUUUGACAAUAUCUCAGCCAGGUAUUUCCAUCUUCAUGUCGGCAGGCCUCAAUCCAUUGAGAGAUACAAAAUCUGGCCUAACUACACUCAAAAUAUUCGCAC